This 88-nucleotide transfer RNA is filed under the name Actinomycetota bacterium. Its description in RNAcentral is "Actinobacteria bacterium (freshwater metagenome) tRNA-Ser". It matches the Rfam family "tRNA". Rfam says of the family: Transfer RNA (tRNA) molecules are approximately 80 nucleotides in length. Their secondary structure includes four short double-helical elements and three loops (D, anti-codon, and T loops). The record is from RNAcentral. Lineage: Bacteria; Bacillati; Actinomycetota.
GGAACGGUGGCAGAGCGGACGAAUGCAGCCGCCUUGAAAGCGGCCGUGUCUUCGGGCACCGGGGGUUCGAAUCCCCCCCGUUCCGCCA